RNAcentral lists this transfer RNA (73 nucleotides) under Mus musculus (house mouse). It matches the Rfam family "tRNA". From Rfam's summary of the family: Transfer RNA (tRNA) molecules are approximately 80 nucleotides in length. Their secondary structure includes four short double-helical elements and three loops (D, anti-codon, and T loops). Further hydrogen bonds mediate the characteristic L-shaped molecular structure. tRNAs have two regions of fundamental functional importance: the anti-codon, which is responsible for specific mRNA codon recognition, and the 3' end, to which the tRNAs corresponding amino acid is attached (by aminoacyl-tRNA synthetases). tRNAs cope with the degeneracy of the genetic code in two manners: having more than one tRNA (with a specific anti-codon) for a particular amino acid; and 'wobble' base-pairing, i.e. permitting non-standard base-pairing at the 3rd anti-codon position. Lineage: Eukaryota; Metazoa; Chordata; Mammalia; Rodentia; Muridae. The record is from Rfam by way of RNAcentral.
GUCCCUGUGGCUAAAUCAGUUAAAGGGCCUGACUCAUAACAGGAAAUCCUGGGUUUAAUUCCCAGUAGGACCU